GCCCUGGUAGUUCAGUGGUAGAAUUCUCACCUUCGAUGUGGGAGACCCAGGUUUGACUCCUGGCCAAGGCA
This 71-nucleotide transfer RNA is filed under the name Loxodonta africana (African savanna elephant). RNAcentral describes it as "tRNA-Arg (TCG) (tRNA-Arg-TCG-9-1)". It matches the Rfam family "tRNA". From Rfam's summary of the family: Transfer RNA (tRNA) molecules are approximately 80 nucleotides in length. Their secondary structure includes four short double-helical elements and three loops (D, anti-codon, and T loops). The record is from Rfam by way of RNAcentral. Lineage: Eukaryota; Metazoa; Chordata; Mammalia; Proboscidea; Elephantidae.